UCUUUAGACGAAAAAUCAAUUAUGUACCAUUUCUCUUGUCAACACUCAUUAUUUCAAUGGUUUUGGAUUUUUGUUUUAUUUCUGCAUAGCUAAGCGAAGGAAACAACGUUGGGAAAUUUGCUAACCCAACUUUCAAAUCCUUAAGGUACCCGAUACGCACUAUCUCCAGACGCCACUCCAAAUUUUCUCCAUGAUUAAAACUUUUGAGCUUUCCUCCCAUUAGUUUCAGCUCUUUGCAUUCCUCGGGCAGCUUGCUAGGCUUUAGCCAUUCUGGAAUUUCCUGCCCUGGAAAGCCUUCAAGAAUCUUUUCAAUCUCAAAGGCAAAAUUAUUCUCUCACUGUACCCGUUCUCAGACACACCCCAUGAUAUUUUUAGAUGCUCAAGAGACAACCCUCUCCAACUUUCAAACUCCCCAUCUUCUAUCACAGCCUCAGAUCCUAUAUGUAUGCUGAGCCGCCUUAGAUUUUUCAAAUUUGCAAGCUCUGAUAUGCUGUCUUGACUCUCUCUAGAAUUUCCUACUGCAUAUCCCUCCAGUACUUGGAGCUGUGAAAUUAUUUGAUAAAAUUGUAGAUUAAUUUCUUUUGGGAGGAGACGUCCAACUGGUGUUUUGGUGUUUCGGUCCAUUAAAUUAAUUUGUAGAAGUCCAACAAAGUUAUUUUGAGCAUGUCACACAUCCAGUAAAAAUCCAGCAAAGAGAAAGGCUCAAGGUCUUGGCUUGAUCCAACUUUGGAAGCACACGCUUAUCCAUUCUUCAUCCAAGCAUUCAAUACAUUUCCAGCAAUGCAAGAAGACCUUCAACAUCCAAGAAUGUCCAACAGCUUGAAACGGUCAAGCUUGGAGGAGUCUCGGUUGGACUAUCCAGCUGGGGAAGCAAGGCCUUCAACAUCCGUCCAGCAAUGCAGAAGUGCACUAUCCAGCUGCUGUGAAACGUCCGUCCAACAGAGCAGCACACGUUCAUGAGAAAGAAAACAGUUUCACUCACGACUGGAAGGAGGUGAAGCAAGGAAGGCUGGCAGCAAUCUACACACUUCAUGUACACGGUCCAGGUCCAGCUCCAACUCCAACUCCGACCAGCAGCAAAAGGAUGGUGCCCAUGAGUGAAUGUCCAGAUGAGCACGUGAUGGACAACAUGAAAAUGAGAAAGGAAUCUCACGCACAAAGAAAUUGGCAGCACAUGGGUGUAAGUGGAUUUUUGGUCAGGAAAGAAUAAUUGGUACUAGGAGAAAUAUAUAUAUUUUUUUUUUUGAAAAGAAAAGAAGGUAAUGCCAAAAUUCUGAAACCACAACACGUGAAAGUGGGAAGAUGGCAUGGAGAAUAAAAUGAAGUGAUGAUGACAUGGAAGCCACCCACAUGAAGGACACUUGUUACUUUAAUAUGGAGAGCACUAAACUAUGUGUGGAAGAAUAUGGAUGGUGCAGCAAUUUUGGAAGCACACGGCACUUCACAUACAUACCAUACCACAUGGGCUCAAUAAAAUUAAAAUAAGAAAGAAGUUAUGUUAGUGUGCACGUUGGAAGCAAAUGGAAGUGCAUUAUGACAUGGAACACUAAAACGGCACUUUGCAGAGAUGGUGUGUUCUUGAAUUUUAAAAUAAUUGGCUUGCAAACAAUAAGGCACAUGGACGACAAUGUGGGGGCUGCAGUCACCAAACACAAUUUUUGGUUUUAUUGUGCACGGCUGAAGCAACACGUGAAAGAGCAUUAAACACAUUUCCAUCUUUUAUUUGGAAAAGCACAAAUGGAGGACCCCUUAGUCCACUUUGCAACGUCCAGAAUCAGAGAAUGCCAUGAGCUGAAGACAAUAAAGGGGCUGGACAUCAGUAGACAGAGACAGUAGGCAGUAGGAGUAGGAGUAGGAUAGAGGUUUCUGUUCUUCUGUUCUGGUUUUCAUUUUUUUCCCCCUCCCCUUUGGGGAGGUUUGGGUUUGUUUUCCAUUUCCAGUGAUAGUGUUUACUGUAAUUUCCAUUGUUAGAAUUCUCGUUUGAUGUGUACUGUAAUUUCUUCUUUUCUGUAAUGGACUCUAGUUAAAUUUCCAGUUUAAACUCAUUUCCGCUGAUGAACUUCCAAUUCCAUUUCAAUUUCGACUGCUCAACUUCCAGGUCUGAUUUCUGUUUCUUCAGUUUAAUUUGCAGUUAAAUCUUAAUUUCCGCAUUGAAAUUCCAGGUCCGUUUACUGUUUCUAUUAAAUUUCUGAUGCAAUUUAAAUUCUGCCUUAUGCUGUCUGCCAUCUUGAAUUUUUUUUGUUGCUGUUUAAUAUCUUGUUGCACUUUAAAUUUCGUUUUUACUAUUCAGCUGUGAAAAUUUCCGUUUUUGUUUUACUGUUUUCAAUCUACUGCUUUCUGAACUUAAGUUUUCUGCAACUAUUUUCUGCUUGAAAUUUACGAUUUUUGCACUAUUGAAAUGUUUUCUGAUCUGAGCAAUCUUAAGUUUUCUGUUCUAUGCAAUCUGAAGAGGUCUGCGUUUUACUGUUCGUUUUUACUGUCUUGCACGAUUUUACAGUGUUCUGUAUUUUUGAUUUACUGUAUUUUUGUUUAUGUACUGUUGUUUUAAUAAAAUUUUGUUUUUGCUAUUUAGUUUUACUGUCUGUUAAUUUUAAUUCUUAUGUUUUUGAAAUUUCGUUUUUACUGCUUCAAUUUAUGGUUUUACUGUUUCAAUUUUAUUUUACUGAAAUUUAAUUUUCUGUUCAAAAACAAAAACAAUCAAAACCCCUCUUUUCGUGUUAAAAGAUCUAAAACUGAACCGCGAAUAAUGGGUCUUGAGAGACUAUCUAAGAGUCACUUCCUAGUAUCUAUACUGCAUUAUUUAUCUGAAUCAAAUUUGUAUGAACCCUGACUGUCGUAUCAGUAAUGGAGGGUGGAAGCUUAGAUAUUCUUGAUAUCCCACGAAGACUAAAAUAGGUCAAAUUCUUUUGAUUCUUCAACUUCUGUAGGAAUCGUUCACUCCCUACUUCAAUGUGAUGUGAAGGAGAAUCUUGCCAACGACCAAGUUGAAGCACCUUUAAAUUUUGGAUGUUUUUAUCCAACCAUUGAGAUCCAAAAUUUAAAUAACUGGCACCACCUUUAAAUUUUGGAUGUUUCAAACUAUUUUCACCUAGUACAAUUUCUUUUUGCUCUAGUACUGACCAUUUACCUCGUAUGUGAUUGUAGGGUAUUCUAAGAGGAAAUGGAUAACUCCUGUGAUUUUCUGUUGAUAGUGUGAAGCAGUUCUUCUUCGUUAUUCUUUACUUUCUCGAACAACUUCCUUAUCUUGUUCACUUCUCUCCUUAACUUUUCCAAAAUCCUAUCUAAUGAUUCAUCUCUUCCCCUUUCACGG
Molecule: long non-coding RNA, 3310 nt
Organism: Vigna angularis (adzuki bean)
Lineage: Eukaryota; Viridiplantae; Streptophyta; Magnoliopsida; Fabales; Fabaceae
Exons: 2
Source: RefSeq, a predicted model, not a curated record